Mandrillus leucophaeus (drill) is the source of this 112-nucleotide ribosomal RNA. The record is from Ensembl. Lineage: Eukaryota; Metazoa; Chordata; Mammalia; Primates; Cercopithecidae.
GUCUACAGUCAUACCACCCUGAAAGCACCGGAUCUCAUCUGAUCUCGGAAGCUAAGCAGGGACGGGCCUGGUUAGUACCUGGAUGGGAGGAAUAGACCUGAAAUUCUGAUCA